CUAAUUACAAAGAGUAAGACUAGUAGCAGCAAUCAUUUAAUCAGAGAAACUUUUUUAUUGAGCUGAGAGAAAAGUUUAAACAGAACUGUGAAUUUCAUCUUAUUAGUAGAAUCUAAUCCAUUCCGGUAUUCACCGUUAGCGAAAUUUAAAGUGUGGACAUUUUAUGUACAAACUAGGGUGGUACCGCGAAGCUUCGUCCCUUUU
Molecule: non-coding RNA, 204 nt
Filed under: Lactobacillus sp.
Lineage: Bacteria; Bacillati; Bacillota; Bacilli; Lactobacillales; Lactobacillaceae
Description: T-box sequence
Rfam family: T-box leader
About the family: Uncharged tRNA acts as the effector for transcription antitermination of genes in the T-box leader family. T-boxes are found upstream of many aminoacyl-tRNA synthetase genes and some amino acid biosynthetic genes usually in Gram-positive bacteria. The anticodon of a specific tRNA base pairs to a specifier sequence within the T-box motif, and the NCCA acceptor tail of the tRNA base pairs to a conserved bulge in the T-box antiterminator hairpin.
Source: RNAcentral